CCGAGCUGUCCAUCUGAAUCUCGACACCGUUAACGAAGUAAGGAAAAGACCUAGAGGGCACAUUUGUUCUUUAACCAGAUCCAACUUAGAAAAUAGAAGGAAGAGAGGAAAGAAAACAAAAGAGAAGGAAUAAGACAACACCCUGCCCCAAUAAUCUACGUUCACCGGAGGCUCACUUACACCACGCUUUCAUCCAUGGAGGAAGCUGGCAACAAGAACAAAUUGAAGGAAUCGAAGACGAAUGUUGCUUCUUUGGAUAAAGAGGAUGCGAGGAGCCUCGACGUGAAUGAGUACUCGCCAUACAGUUCUAGUCGUGUGCGUGGAAAUAUGUC
Molecule: long non-coding RNA, 332 nt
Filed under: Phoenix dactylifera (date palm)
Lineage: Eukaryota; Viridiplantae; Streptophyta; Magnoliopsida; Arecales; Arecaceae
Description: long non-coding RNA (PDAC_LNC004491)
Source: RNAcentral